RNAcentral lists this ribosomal RNA (460 nucleotides) under uncultured bacterium. RNAcentral's name for it is "partial 16S ribosomal RNA". It matches the Rfam family "Bacterial small subunit ribosomal RNA", at positions 338 to 795 of the family's 1533-position model. The record is from RNAcentral.
CCUACGGGAGGCAGCAGUGAGGAAUAUUGGUCAAUGGGCGCGAGCCUGAACCAGCCAAGUAGCGUGAAGGAUGACUGCCCUACGGGUUGUAAACUUCUUUUAUAAGGGAAUAAAGAGAGGCACGUGUGCAUUUUUGUAUGUACUUUAUGUACAAGGAUCGGCUAACUCCGUGCCAGCAGCCGCGGUAAUACGGAGGAUCCGAGCGUUAUCCGGAUUUAUUGGGUUUAAAGGGAGCGUAGGUGGGUUGUUAAGUCAGUUGUGAAAGUUUGCGGCUCAAACGUAGAAUUGCAAUUGAUACUGGCAGUCUUGAGUGCAGGUGAGGUAGGCGGAAUUCGUGGUGUAGCGGUGAAAUGCUUAGAGAUCACGAAGAACUCCGAUGGCGAAGGCAGCUUACUAGACUGCCACUGACACUGAUGCACGAAAGUGUGGGUAUCAAACAGGAUUAGAUACCCUGGUAGUC